This 548-nucleotide ribosomal RNA is filed under the name uncultured Glomus. Its description in RNAcentral is "SSU rRNA". It matches the Rfam family "Eukaryotic small subunit ribosomal RNA", at positions 548 to 1098 of the family's 1831-position model. Lineage: Eukaryota; Fungi; Glomeromycota; Glomeromycetes; Glomerales; Glomeraceae. The record is from RNAcentral.
UUGGAGGGCAAGUCUGGUGCCAGCAGCCGCGGUAAUUCCAGCUCCAAUAGCGUAUAUUAAAGUUGUUGCAGUUAAAAAGCUCGUAGUUGAAUUUCGGGAUCAGAUUGUUGGUCGUGCCUCGGUACGCACUGGCAUUAUUGGUUCCUACCUUCUGAAGAACCGCGAUGUCAUUAAUUUGGUGUCGUGGGGAAUCAGGACUGUUACUUUGAAAAAAUUAGAGUGUUUAAAGCAGGCGCACGCUUGAAUACAUUAGCAUGGAAUAAUGAAAUAGGACGUUUGAUUCUAUUUUGUUGGUUUCUAGGAUCGACGUAAUGAUUAAUAGGGAUAGUUGGGGGCAUUAGUAUUCAAUUGUCAGAGGUGAAAUUCUUGGAUUUAUUGAAGACUAACUACUGCGAAAGCAUUUGCCAAGGAUGUUUUCAUUAAUCAAGAACGAAAGUUAGGGGAUCGAAGACGAUCAGAUACCGUCGUAGUCUUAACCAUAAACUAUGCCGACUAGGAAUCGGACGAUGUUAAUUUUUUAAUGACUCGUUCGGCGCCUUACGGGAAAC